This 75-nucleotide small RNA is filed under the name Hyunsoonleella jejuensis. Its description in RNAcentral is "Flavo-1 RNA". It matches the Rfam family "Flavo-1 RNA". The record is from Rfam by way of RNAcentral. Lineage: Bacteria; Pseudomonadati; Bacteroidota; Flavobacteriia; Flavobacteriales; Flavobacteriaceae.
ACCUCGCGAGAAGGAUUGCAGCGGCAUCCUUUUUGCUUUUUCUGCAAAAAGAUAUAGCGGAAAGCCUGUUUGCCA